CUACGGGCCGCACCAGUGAGGAAUAUUGGUCAAUGGGCGCAAGCCUGAACCAGCCAUCCCGCGUGGAGGAAGACGGCCCUAUGGGUUGUAAACUCCUUUUAUAAGGGAAGAAUAUACGUAUCGUGAUAUGUUUUGACGGUACCUUAUGAAUAAGCAUCGGCUAACUCCGUGCCAGCAGCCGCGGUAAUACGGAGGAUGCAAGCGUUAUCCGGAUUCAUUGGGUUUAAAGGGUGCGCAGGCGGACCAAUAAGUCAGUGGUGAAAUCUUACGGCUCAACCGUGAAACUGCCAUUGAUACUGUUAGUCUUGAGUACGGCUGAGGUAGGCGGAAUGUGUAAUGUAGCGGUGAAAUGCUUAGAUAUUACACAGAACACCAAUUGCGUAGGCAGCUUACUAGACCGUAACUGACGCUGAGGCACGAAAGCGUGGGUAGCGAACAGGAUUAGAUACCCGAGUAGUC
Molecule: ribosomal RNA, 459 nt
Filed under: uncultured bacterium
Lineage: Bacteria
Description: partial 16S ribosomal RNA
Rfam family: Bacterial small subunit ribosomal RNA
Source: RNAcentral